RNAcentral lists this unclassified non-coding RNA (147 nucleotides) under uncultured Chaetosphaeriales. RNAcentral describes it as "sequence contains ITS2". Lineage: Eukaryota; Fungi; Ascomycota; Sordariomycetes. The record is from RNAcentral.
CCACCCUCAGGCCCUGCCUGGUGUUGGGGACCUGCCACUGUGGCAGCCCCCGAAAGACAGCGGCGGUACUGUCCGCGCGCCCUGGCGAAGUAAUUUACGCCGCCUGGGACGCCGGAGAGCGCCUGCCGGAAAACCACCAACUUCAUA